CGACCUUCGAUACGGGAGUAUUGAAGAUGAAAGAUUUAUUGCUCAAGGAGGGGCCCGCGGUCGAUUAGCUAGUUGGUGGGGUAAUGGCCUACCAAGGCUGUGAUCGAUAGCUGGUCUGAGAGGAUGAUCAGUCACACGGGAACUGAGACACGGUCCCGACUCCUACGGGGGGCAGCAGUGAGGAAUAUUGCACAAUGGGGGAAACCCUGAUGCAGCAACGCCGCGUGGAGGAUGACAGCCCUUGGGUUGUAAACUCCUUUUCUGUGGGACGAGAGAGGACGGUACCACAGGAAUAAGUCACGGCUAACUACGUGCCAGCAGCCGCGGUAAUACGUAGGUGGCGAGCGUUAUCCGGAAUUACUGGGCGUAAAGCGUACGCAGGCGGCUUGUUUAGUCUGACGUGAAAUCUCCCGGCUUAACUGGGAGAGGUCGUUGGAAACUGACAAGCUUGAGGCAAUGAGAGGGGCAUG
Molecule: ribosomal RNA, 470 nt
Filed under: uncultured bacterium
Lineage: Bacteria
Description: bacterial SSU rRNA
Rfam family: Bacterial small subunit ribosomal RNA
Source: RNAcentral